GCAUUGGUGGUUUGAUGGUAGAAUUCUCACUUCUCAUGCAGGAGACCCAGGUUAGAUUCCUGGCCAACACA
RNAcentral lists this transfer RNA (71 nucleotides) under Loxodonta africana (African savanna elephant). It matches the Rfam family "tRNA". From Rfam's summary of the family: Transfer RNA (tRNA) molecules are approximately 80 nucleotides in length. Their secondary structure includes four short double-helical elements and three loops (D, anti-codon, and T loops). Further hydrogen bonds mediate the characteristic L-shaped molecular structure. tRNAs have two regions of fundamental functional importance: the anti-codon, which is responsible for specific mRNA codon recognition, and the 3' end, to which the tRNAs corresponding amino acid is attached (by aminoacyl-tRNA synthetases). tRNAs cope with the degeneracy of the genetic code in two manners: having more than one tRNA (with a specific anti-codon) for a particular amino acid; and 'wobble' base-pairing, i.e. permitting non-standard base-pairing at the 3rd anti-codon position. The record is from Rfam by way of RNAcentral. Lineage: Eukaryota; Metazoa; Chordata; Mammalia; Proboscidea; Elephantidae.